GCAGAUGUAGUUUAGUGGCUCGAAUAUGUCCUUGCCAAGGCUAGGACGCGGGUUCGAUUCCCGUCAUCUGCUCCA
This 75-nucleotide transfer RNA is filed under the name Bacilli bacterium. RNAcentral describes it as "tRNA-Gly". It matches the Rfam family "tRNA". Rfam says of the family: Transfer RNA (tRNA) molecules are approximately 80 nucleotides in length. Their secondary structure includes four short double-helical elements and three loops (D, anti-codon, and T loops). Lineage: Bacteria; Bacillati; Bacillota; Bacilli. The record is from RNAcentral.